CGAACCCUUCGGGGUUAGUGGCGCACGGGUGCGUAACGCGUGGGAACCUGCCUUUAGGUUCGGAAUAACAGUUAGAAAUGACUGCUAAUACCGGAUAAUGUCUUCGGACCAAAGAUUUAUCGCCUUUAGAUGGGCCCGCGUUAGAUUAGAUAGUUGGUGGGGUAAUGGCCUACCAAGUCGACGAUCUAUAGCUGGUCUGAGAGGAUGAUCAGCCACACUGGGACUGAGACACGGCCCAGACUCCUACGGGAGGCAGCAGUGGGGAAUAUUGGACAAUGGGCGAAAGCCUGAUCCAGCAAUGCCGCGUGAGUGAUGAAGGCCUUAGGGUUGUAAAGCUCUUUUACCAGGGAUGAUAAUGACAGUACCUGGAGAAUAAGCUCCGGCUAACUCCGUGCCAGCAGCCGCGGUAAUACGGAGGGAGCUAGCGUUGUUCGGAAUUACUGGGCGUAAAGCGCGCGUAGGCGGCUUUUUAAGUCAGAGGUGAAAUCCCAGGGCUCAACCCUGGAACUGCCUUUGAAACUGGAAAGCUAGAAUAUUGGAGAGGUAAGUGGAAUUCCGAGUGUAGAGGUGAAAUUCGUAGAUAUUCGGAAGAACACCAGUGGCGAAGGC
RNAcentral lists this ribosomal RNA (609 nucleotides) under Qipengyuania seohaensis. RNAcentral's name for it is "bacterial SSU rRNA". It matches the Rfam family "Bacterial small subunit ribosomal RNA", at positions 67 to 722 of the family's 1533-position model. Lineage: Bacteria; Pseudomonadati; Pseudomonadota; Alphaproteobacteria; Sphingomonadales; Erythrobacteraceae. The record is from RNAcentral.